This 307-nucleotide ribosomal RNA is filed under the name uncultured Anaeroplasmataceae bacterium. RNAcentral describes it as "partial 16S ribosomal RNA". Lineage: Bacteria; Bacillati; Mycoplasmatota; Mollicutes; Anaeroplasmatales; Anaeroplasmataceae. The record is from RNAcentral.
GGAGUAUGGGCCGUGUCUCAAUCCCAUUGUGGCCGUUUACCCUCUCAGGUCGGCUACACAUCCUCGCCUUGGUGGGCUGUUAUCUCACCAACUAGCUAAUGUGCCGCAGGUCCAUCUAAGAGUGGUGCAAACGCACCUUUCAAGCGGAGAUGAUGCCAUCCCCGUUGUUAUCCGGUAUUAGCCGAAGUUUCCCUCGGGUAUCCCAGUCUCAAAGGCAGGUUACCUACGUGUUACUCACCCGUUCGCCGCUAGGUAGCAAGCUACCUCGCUCGACUUGCAUGUAUUAGGCACGCCGCCAGCGUUCAUC